UGGGGAAUUUUGGACAAUGGGGGAAACCCUGAUCCAGCCAUCCCGCGUGUGCGAUGAAGGCCUUCGGGUUGUAAAGCACUUUUGGCAGGAAAGAAACGUCGCGGGUUAAUACCCCGCGGAACUGACGGUACCUGCAGAAUAAGCACCGGCUAACUACGUGCCAGCAGCCGCGGUAAUACGUAGGGUGCAAGCGUUAAUCGGAAUUACUGGGCGUAAAGCGUGCGCAGGCGGUUCGGAAAGAAAGAUGUGAAAUCCCAGAGCUUAACUUUGGAACUGCAUUUUUAACUACCGGGCUAGAGUGUGUCAGAGGGAGGUGGAAUUCCGCGUGUAGCAGUGAAAUGCGUAGAUAUGCGGAGGAACACCGAUGGCGAAGGCAGCCUCCUGGGAUAACACUGACGCUCAUGCACGAAAGCGUGGGGGAGCAAACAGGAUUAGAUACCCUGGUAGUCCACGCCCUAAACGAUGUCAACUAGCUGUUGGGGUCUUCGGACCUUGGUAGCGCAGCUAACGCGUGAAGUUGACCGCCUGGGGAGUACGGUCGCAAGAUU
RNAcentral lists this ribosomal RNA (548 nucleotides) under uncultured bacterium. RNAcentral's name for it is "partial 16S ribosomal RNA". It matches the Rfam family "Bacterial small subunit ribosomal RNA", at positions 355 to 895 of the family's 1533-position model. The record is from RNAcentral.